This 471-nucleotide ribosomal RNA is filed under the name uncultured bacterium. RNAcentral's name for it is "bacterial SSU rRNA". It matches the Rfam family "Bacterial small subunit ribosomal RNA", at positions 364 to 832 of the family's 1533-position model. The record is from RNAcentral.
UUCGCAAUGCCCGAAAGGGUGAACGAGCGACGCCGCGUGCGGGAUGAAGGGUUUCGGCUUGUAAACCGCUUUUCUUUGGGAAGAAGGUCUGUCUCGUGAAGAUGGGCUCGACGGUACCAGAGGAAUAAGCCUCGGCUAACUCCGUGCCAGCAGCCGCGGUAGGACGGAGGAGGCGAGCGUUGUUCGGAAUUAUUGGGCGUAAAGAGCGCGCAGGCGGCAUAAUAAGUCAGGUGUGAAAUCUCCCGGCUCAACUGGGAGGGUGCAUUUGAUACUGUUAAGCUGGAGUGCAGCAGAGGGAGAUGGAAUUCCCGGUGUAGUGGUGAAAUGCGUAGAUAUCGGGAGGAACACCAGUGGCGAAAGCGGUCUCCUGGGCUGUAACUGACGCUGAGGCGCGAAAGCGUGGGGAGCGAACCGGAUUAGAUACCCGGGUAGUCCACGCCGUAAACGAUGGGCACUAAGUAGAGGGGUUUU